AUUGGUUCGAGCCACUUAUACCAAUUCUGAGCACCAUCGUGAACAAAUUUCCGGAUCAUUCCGCCGAUCACU
Molecule: non-coding RNA, 72 nt
Organism: Pangasianodon gigas (Mekong giant catfish)
Lineage: Eukaryota; Metazoa; Chordata; Actinopteri; Siluriformes; Pangasiidae
Source: the annotation of a GenBank genome assembly